GUGGGGAAUCUUGCACAAUGGGCGAAAGCCUGAUGCAGCCAUGCCGCGUGAAUGAUGAAGGCCUUAGGGUUGUAAAAUUCUUUCGUCAGGGAUGAUAAUGACCGUACCUGAAGAAGAAGCCCCGGCUAACUUCGUGCCAGCAGCCGCGGUAAUACGAAGGGGGCUAGCGUUGUUCGGAAUUACUGGGCGUAAAGCGCACGUAGGCGGACUUUUAAGUCAGGUGUGAAAUCCCGGGGCUCAACCUCGGAACUGCAUUUGAAACUGGAAGUCUUGAGAUCAGGAGAGGUUAGCGGAAUACCGAGUGUAGAGGUGAAAUUCGUAGAUAUUCGGAGGAACACCAGUGGCGAAGGCGGCUCACUGGCUCGAUACUGACGCUGAGGUGCGAAAGCGUGGGGAGCAAACAGGAUUAGAAACCCCGGUAGUCC
RNAcentral lists this ribosomal RNA (425 nucleotides) under uncultured bacterium. Its description in RNAcentral is "partial 16S ribosomal RNA". It matches the Rfam family "Bacterial small subunit ribosomal RNA", at positions 354 to 796 of the family's 1533-position model. The record is from RNAcentral.